RNAcentral lists this small nucleolar RNA (85 nucleotides) under Oryctes borbonicus. Its description in RNAcentral is "Small nucleolar RNA snR60/Z15/Z230/Z193/J17". It matches the Rfam family "Small nucleolar RNA snR60/Z15/Z230/Z193/J17". From Rfam's summary of the family: The members of this family belong to the C/D class of snoRNAs which contain the C (UGAUGA) and D (CUGA) box motifs. Most of the members of the box C/D family function in directing site-specific 2'-O-methylation of substrate RNAs. Lineage: Eukaryota; Metazoa; Arthropoda; Insecta; Coleoptera; Scarabaeidae. The record is from Rfam by way of RNAcentral.
AUGCUAAUGUGAUGAGAACAUAGUUCAAAUGACGAAUCUAUGAUUGAGAACUUAAAAUGUCUUUCGCUCCUAUCUGAAUUAGUUU